This is a non-coding RNA of Poecilia reticulata (guppy), 1014 nucleotides long. The record is from RefSeq and is a predicted model, not a curated record. NCBI's taxonomy places the organism in Eukaryota, Metazoa, Chordata, Actinopteri, Cyprinodontiformes, Poeciliidae.
CAUUCCGCCUAGUCCUGUUACCUCCUUGUUGUUCCUGUUCAUUUUGUUCUGGCUCCCUGCAUUCUCCAUGGUUUUUCAUUUAAUCCCACAGGAGGAGGACAGAGAGAGGGAAGGCAGGGGAGAGAAGCAUGGACCAAGGGAUCCGAGGACGGGAGUAGAACCCCGGACUACUGCGGUCUACAGCCACUACAUGAACUACUAAUGGAUUAGUUCAACGUGCUGAUUUGUGCAGAAAUCCACUGUGUUUUAGUGGGAGUGAUGGGGGGGAAAAAAGGCCAUCCCCUUCGAAUCCUCUUUCAUGAGUUCAUCACUUGUUGGACGCCCAAGCUUUUUAUCGAGUAUGGAUAAAGCACGUCUUUGUGAUUCAGCAUUGUAGCUGAUGGAGAGAUCCAGAUAUAGCAGCGGAUGGAGCAAAAUGACAAACGUCUGUGGGAAAAGAAAUGUGGCUGUGCUUUGUGGAGAAACUGCUGACACUUCGGAUUGGAAGAUGCCCUGAAAGUGGGUCUUCUUUUUUUUUAAACCAAAAGGGUUUUAAAAUGUUUUUUUACCCAAUGUGUUCAACAUAAAUCCAUAGGGAUAUGAGGACACAUCUUUACAGGCAACAAUAUUUUCUAAAUCUAUUAUAAACUUUAAAAAAUAAGCAAUCAAUUGUUACCACUUCAUUGCUUAGGAAGUAGUCAUUGUGCAUUGUGUACAAACUUUGCCACAAAACCGAUUCUGAUGUUACAUUGAUGGACCUAAAUGAAAACAUGCAUCUUAGGAAUGCAGCAGGAAAGUAUUUAAUUUCAUAUUUUUGUAAAAAAAAAACUAAAAAAAAACGUACAUAUAAAAUUUUGUGCACAUUUUCCAGACAGUUUUCUUUCUUUGAACAAAAUCUUCCUGAGAAGAAAGGCAUAAAGAGAGCGUGCGAGAGAGAGAGAGAAAGUUGCGCAGGGGGCGAGGGAGAGUGUACAGGAACAGGAAUUAAUUCUAACACUACAGAAUCAUUAGACCAGGGGUCAGGAACCUUUUUGG